Molecule: ribosomal RNA, 1416 nt
Filed under: Triticum aestivum (bread wheat)
Lineage: Eukaryota; Viridiplantae; Streptophyta; Magnoliopsida; Poales; Poaceae
Description: partial small subunit ribosomal RNA
Source: RNAcentral
AUGAGGCCAUCAGAAGUGGCUGCCAUGGUGGUGGUGUUGCUCCUGGCCACGGCGGCUGCAGCAGCUAACCAGGUGAUGGUGCUGGAGCGGGUGGUGCCGCUCAAGGGGGUCCCACUGGGGGAUCCCAGGGAGCUGGACAGGGCGAGGCAGGCGAGGAUGGGUGUGGUAAAUGUCCCUGUGCAGGGCAACGCCAACCCAUUCGCUGAUGAGAUUUAUUAUACUAAUGUGAAAUUAGGAAACCCUCCAAAAGAACAUACUUUCCAAAUUGACACUGGAAGUGACAUCUCGUGGGUUGCUUGCAAGGGCUGCAGGGGUUGCUCGACAAGAAGUCCUCUCAAGAUCCCAAUAGAGUUAUACAAUCCCAACUCUUCAUCGACAUCGUCCAGAAUACUAUGCUCGGAUAGUAGCUGUACACUUGCCGACAAUUCAGGAUCAAAAGUCUGCCAUACCUCAGAUUCCACAAGCAGUCUAUGUGGUUAUAAUCUAACAUAUGGUGAUGGAACUGGAGUGUCGGGUUAUUACGUGUCUGACACUAUGCAUCUCGACACUAUCAUGGGAAAUCAACAUUUUGCCAAUGCUUCUGCAUCUGUUGUUUUUGGAUGUACCGAAUCGCUAUCAGGAUUCAUAUAUAUAGAUGGGAUUCUGGCAUUUGGACAGCAGCAACUUUCUAUCAUUUCACAACUGAACUCUUUGGGUGUAUCCCCUAAAAAGUUCUCACAUUGCUUGAAAGGUUCCGAAGAAGGUGGUGGCAUUUUUCUUCUUGGUGAAAUCGUGGAGCCAAGAUUAGUAUUUACUCCACUUGCAGGGCCUCAUUACAACUUGAAUCAGGAGGGCAUUGCUAUCAAUGGCCAAAACCUGCCCAUUGAUUCUUCCUUGUUUGCAACAUCAAAUAAACAAGGACCAAUAGUAGACUCAGGAACAACCCUAACAUACCUUCUAGACGAAGUCUAUGAUGGAUUUGUUAGUGCGAUAGUUGCAGGGGUCUCUCCAUCUGUACGUCCUCUUGGCACCGAGCGGGUUGAGAAGAGGGACAAGUGUUUCCUUUCUUCUAGCAGCAUUGACUUGUUAUUUCCAACCGUCACACUAUAUUUUAAGGGAGGUGCUGCAAUGACAAUGAAGCCACGAAACUAUCUUUUGCUGCAGGGUUAUGUGGGCAAUGAUACUGUGUGGUGCAUUGGCUGGCAAAGUACCAAGGAAAUCCAGAAUGGCCAUGGAAUCACUGUACUCGGAGAUCUUGCUUUACAUGAUAAGAUAUUUGUGUAUGACUUAGAGAAGAUGCGCUUCGGCUGGAUGGACUACAAUUGCUCCUUAAUCAAUAGGAACACCCGGUUUGGUGUGAGUGGCGCAUCAUCAUACUGCAGCCGCUUGAUACCUAUUGGAGUGGCUGUUGUAUGGUUGGUCAGCCUUCUCACGUAG